GAUGAAGAACGUAGCGAAAUGCGAUACGUAAUGUGAAUUGCAGAUCUCUCUGUGAAUCAUCGAAUCUUUGAACGCACAUUGCGCCCCCUGGCCUUCCGGGGGGCAUGCCUGUUCGAGCGUCUCCAGGACGAUUCCCUCACUCCGGCGAUCGGCGUGGUCAUGGCGGAGGUGGCGGGCCCGAGCCGGGCGGCCACCCCGCUGGAAUCGAUGGGCGGACGCCUGCCGCGUGGCCGAGCGUGAUAUGACACAUUGGCGCACCCGCGCGGCGAGGUUGCCAGCCCGGGCCCCUGUGUGGGGCGGGGAGAGCAAAGACAUUGGAACUCCUCGAAUCAGGCAGGGAUACCCGCUGAACUUAAGCAUAUCAAUAAGCGGAGGA
This 376-nucleotide unclassified non-coding RNA is filed under the name soil metagenome. RNAcentral's name for it is "partial contains 5.8S ribosomal RNA, internal transcribed spacer 2, and large subunit ribosomal RNA". The stretch from base 1 to 122 matches the Rfam family "5.8S ribosomal RNA", at positions 35 to 154 of the family's 154-position model. The record is from RNAcentral.